This 253-nucleotide ribosomal RNA is filed under the name uncultured bacterium. Its description in RNAcentral is "partial 16S ribosomal RNA". It matches the Rfam family "Bacterial small subunit ribosomal RNA", at positions 524 to 776 of the family's 1533-position model. The record is from RNAcentral.
UACAGAGGUCUCAACCGUUGUUCGGAUUCAUUGGGCGUAAAGGGUGCGUAGGCGGUCGUGCAAGUCGGAUGUGAAAUCUCAGGGCUCAACCCUGAAACUGCAUUCGAUACUGCGCGGCUAGAGUGCUGGAGGGGAGACUGGAAUUUACGGUGUAGCAGUGAAAUGCGUAGAUAUCGUAAGGAAGACCAGUGGCGAAGGCGAGUCUCUGGACAGCAACUGACGCUGAGGCACGAAGGCCGGGGGAGCAAACAGG